GAUAAACGCUGGCGGCGUGCCUAACACAUGCAAGUCGAACGCCCUUUUGCGCAAGUGAGAGGGAGUGGCGGACGGGUGAGUACCACGUGGGUACCUACCUUGAGGUGAGGAAUACCACCGAGAAAUCGGUGACAAGACCGCAUACGCUUGGCAACAAGCAAAGUCUCGCAAGAGACGCCACAAGAUGGGCCUGCGCCUGAUUAGCUAGUUGGUGAGGUAAUGGCNCACCAAGGCGACGAUCAGUAGCUGGUCUGAGAGGAUGAUCAGCCACACUGGGAUUGAGAACGGCCCAGACUCC
Molecule: ribosomal RNA, 298 nt
Filed under: uncultured bacterium
Lineage: Bacteria
Description: partial 16S ribosomal RNA
Rfam family: Bacterial small subunit ribosomal RNA
Source: RNAcentral